RNAcentral lists this ribosomal RNA (253 nucleotides) under uncultured bacterium. Its description in RNAcentral is "partial 16S ribosomal RNA". It matches the Rfam family "Bacterial small subunit ribosomal RNA", at positions 524 to 776 of the family's 1533-position model. The record is from RNAcentral.
UACGUAGGGUGCAAGCGUUAAUCGGAAUUACUGGGCGUAAAGCGUGCGCAGGCGGUUAUGCAAGACAGAUGUGAAAUCCCCGGGCUUAACCUGGGAACUGCAUUUGUGACUGCAUAGCUAGAGUACGGUAGAGGGGGAUGGAAUUCCGCGUGUAGCAGUGAAAUGCGUAGAUAUGCGGAGGAACACCGGUGGCGAAGGCGGCAUCCUGGACCGGUAUUGACGCUGAGGCGCGAAAGCCAGGGGAGCAAACGGG